AGUGAACGCUGGCGGUAGGCCUAACACAUGCAAGUCGAACGGCAGCACAGUAAGAGCUUGCUCUUACGGGUGGCGAGUGGCGGACGGGUGAGGAAUACAUCGGAAUCUACUUUUUCGUGGGGGAUAACGUAGGGAAACUUACGCUAAUACCGCUUACGACCUACGGGUGAAAGCAGGGGAUCUUCGGACCUUGCCCGAUUGAAUGAGCCGAUGUCGGAUUAGCUAGUUGGCGGGGUAAAGGCCCACCAAGGCGACGAUCCGUAGCUGGUCUGAGAGGAUGAUCAGCCACACUGGAACUGAGACACGGUCCAGACUCCUACGGGAGGCAGCAGUGGGGAAUAUUGGACAAUGGGCGCAAGCCUGAUCCAGCCAUACCGCGUGGGUGAAGAAGGCCUUCGGGUUGUAAAGCCCUUUUGUUGGGAAAGAAAAGCAGCAGGUUAAUACCCCGCUGUUCUGACGGUACCCAAAGAAUAAGCACCGGCUAACUUCGUG
RNAcentral lists this ribosomal RNA (492 nucleotides) under uncultured bacterium. RNAcentral describes it as "partial 16S ribosomal RNA". It matches the Rfam family "Bacterial small subunit ribosomal RNA", at positions 29 to 507 of the family's 1533-position model. The record is from RNAcentral.